This 497-nucleotide ribosomal RNA is filed under the name uncultured bacterium. Its description in RNAcentral is "partial 16S ribosomal RNA". It matches the Rfam family "Bacterial small subunit ribosomal RNA", at positions 28 to 507 of the family's 1533-position model. The record is from RNAcentral.
GACGAACGCUGGCGGCGUGCCUAAUACAUGCAAGUAGAACGCUGAAGAGAGGAGCUUGCUCUUCUUGGAUGAGUUGCGAACGGGUGAGUAACGCGUAGGUAACCUGCCUUGUAGCGGGGGAUAACUAUUGGAAACGAUAGCUAAUACCGCAUAACAAUGGAUGACCCAUGUCAUUUAUUUGAAAGGGGCAAAUGCUCCGCUACAAGAUGGACCUGCGUUGUAUUAGCUAGUAGGUGAGGUAACGGCUCACCUAGGCGACGAUACAUAGCCGACCUGAGAGGGUGAUCGGCCACACUGGGACUGAGACACGGCCCAGACUCCUACGGGAGGCAGCAGUAGGGAAUCUUCGGCAAUGGGGGCAACCCUGACCGAGCAACGCCGCGUGAGUGAAGAAGGUUUUCGGAUCGUAAAGCUCUGUUGUAAGUCAAGAACGAGUGUGAGAGUGGAAAGUUCACACUGUGACGGUAGCUUACCAGAAAGGGACGGCUAACUACGUG